CCUACGGGAGGCAGCAGUGAGGAAUAUUGGUCAAUGGACGAGAGUCUGAACCAGCCAAGUAGCGUGAAGGAUGACUGCCCUAUGGGUUGUAAACUUCUUUUAUAUGGGAAUAAAAUGUUCCACGUGUGGGAUUUUGUAUGUACCAUAUGAAUAAGGAUCGGCUAACUCCGUGCCAGCAGCCGCGGUAAUACGGAGGAUCCGAGCGUUAUCCGGAUUUAUUGGGUUUAAAGGGAGCGUAGGUGGAUUGUUAAGUCAGUUGUGAAAGUUUGCGGCUCAACCGUAAAAUUGCAGUUGAUACUGGCAGUCUUGAGUACAGUAGAGGUAGGCGGAAUUCGUGGUGGAGCGGUGAAAUGCUUAGAUAUCACGAAGAACUCCGAUUGCGAAGGCAGUUCACUGGACUGCAACUGACACUGGGGCUCGAAAGUGUGGGUAUCAAACAGGAUUAGAUACCCCUGUAGUC
Molecule: ribosomal RNA, 460 nt
Filed under: uncultured bacterium
Lineage: Bacteria
Description: partial 16S ribosomal RNA
Rfam family: Bacterial small subunit ribosomal RNA
Source: RNAcentral